Molecule: ribosomal RNA, 470 nt
Filed under: uncultured bacterium
Lineage: Bacteria
Description: bacterial SSU rRNA
Rfam family: Bacterial small subunit ribosomal RNA
Source: RNAcentral
CGCCAUCACUCCUACGGGAGCCAGCAGUGGGGAAUUUGGACAAUGGGCGCAAGCCUGAUCCAGCAAUGCCGCGUGAGUGAAGAAGGCCUUCGGGUUGUAAAGCUCUUUGUCAGGGAAGAAACGGUGAGAGCUAAUAUCUUUGCUAAUGACGGUACCUGAAGAAUAAGCACCGGCUAACUACGUGCCAGCAGCCGCGGUAAUACGUAGGGUGCAAGCGUUAAUCGGAAUUACUGGGCGUAAAGCGCAUGCAGGUGGUUUGUUAAGUCAGAUGUGAAAGCCCCGGGGCUCAACCUCGGAAUUGCAUUUGAAACUGGCAGACUAGAGUACUGUAGAGGGGGUAGAAUUUCAGGUGUAGCGGUGAAAUGCGUAGAGAUCUGAAGGAAUACCGGUGGCGAAGGCGGCCCCCUGGACAGAUACUGACACUCAGAUGCGAAAGCGUGGGGAGCAAACAGGAUUAGAUACCCUGGUAG